GUAAGAGAAAGAAUCACUUUUUGGAUUUAAAAAAGAAAAGAAAAUGAAUUGUUUGCUUUUUAUAAUUUGGUUGGACCGCACCAGUUGUAUUGUUCCGAGUUCAAAUUAAGGCUUUAUAAACAACAAGCACUAGGGAUUUUGGGAUAUCACACCUUAGAUAUUUUAUGGAAAUUAUAAUAUAUAAUUGAGAUGAAAAUACUGCUAACUGCGUUGUGCUUCUUCCUCUUUGUUCUCAUUGCUGCUCAAGAAGCUGUGGUGCAAAUUGAAGGUUGUGAGGUAAAGAGUCCUACAUUCAAUGGUCACUGUAAUGACCCAAUUUCAGACAAAAUUUGUGACAUUAAUUGCAGAUUUGGAGAAGGUUUAAUCAAUGGUUCCUGCAAAAAUCAGGAGUGCAUGUGUGUCUGUUGAAUUUGCAGCUAUAUUAGAAAAUAAAGCUGGCUGUAAUUUGUUUCACGUAUAGCUGGUUCAUGUUAAUAAAAUAAAUCAUAAAUUAUAUUUUUAGGGUUCCUAUCUUCAAAGGCAUGCCUUAGCCUAUUUAUCUUCAACCAAUUAUUUAUUAAUCAGAGCAAAAAAUUUGGCUUGGAAAGGUUCACUGCUUUCUAUAUUAUGGGAAGAGUCCAACUUAUUCGAUCAAUUAUUCAUUGUAUGUUGGUGUACAACUUUCGCAUGUAUACUUUGGCCUAUUUCUCUCCUAAAAAUUAUGGAUUCUUGGAUUAGAAACUUCAUAUAGUUAUUUUUUGAUUAAUCUAAAGUUUGGUGUCUUCUCAUAGAAAGUGGCGUCUGUAAUCCCUCAUGGAAAUUAAUGAAUCUACUAUGGUAAAACUCACGUUUGAUUUGCUUU
Molecule: long non-coding RNA, 841 nt
Organism: Medicago truncatula (barrel medic)
Lineage: Eukaryota; Viridiplantae; Streptophyta; Magnoliopsida; Fabales; Fabaceae
Exons: 2
Source: RefSeq, a predicted model, not a curated record